Molecule: ribosomal RNA, 253 nt
Filed under: uncultured bacterium
Lineage: Bacteria
Description: partial 16S ribosomal RNA
Rfam family: Bacterial small subunit ribosomal RNA
Source: RNAcentral
UACGAAGGGUGCUAGCGUUGUUCGGCAUUACUGGGCGUAAAGCGUGCGUAGGCGGCUUGACAAGUCCGAUGUGAAAGCCCGGGGCUUAACCCCGGAUGUGCAUUGGAAACUGUCUUGCUGGAGGUCGGAAGGGGAAAGCGGAAUUCCUAGUGUAGAGGUGAAAUUCGUAGAUAUUAGGAGGAACACCAGUGGCGAAGGCGGCUUUCUGGUCCGAAUCUGACGCUGAGGCACGAAAGCGUGGGGAGCAAACAGG